Molecule: ribosomal RNA, 1156 nt
Filed under: Acinetobacter sp.
Lineage: Bacteria; Pseudomonadati; Pseudomonadota; Gammaproteobacteria; Moraxellales; Moraxellaceae
Description: bacterial SSU rRNA
Rfam family: Bacterial small subunit ribosomal RNA
Source: RNAcentral
AUGGGACUGAGACACGGUCCAGACUCUACGGGAGGCAGCAGUGGGAUAUGACAUGGGGGAACUGAUCCAGCAUGCGCGUGUGUGAGAGCUUUGGUGUAAAGCACUUUAAGCGAGAGAGGCUACUGGUAUUAAUACUACCGGGAUAGUGGACGUUACUCGCAGAAUAAGCACCGGCUAACUCUGUGCCAGCAGCCGCGGUAAUACAGAGGGUGCGAGCGUUAAUCGGAUUUACUGGGCGUAAAGCGUGCGUAGGCGGCUUUUUAAGUCGGAUGUGAAAUCCCUGAGCUUAACUUAGGAAUUGCAUUCGAUACUGGGAGGCUAGAGUAUGGGAGAGGAUGGUAGAAUUCCAGGUGUAGCGGUGAAAUGCGUAGAGAUCUGGAGGAAUACCGAUGGCGAAGGCAGCCAUCUGGCCUAAUACUGACGCUGAGGUACGAAAGCAUGGGGAGCAAACAGGAUUAGAUACCCUGGUAGUCCAUGCCGUAAACGAUGUCUACUAGCCGUUGGGGCCUUUGAGGCUUUAGUGGCGCAGCUAACGCGAUAAGUAGACCGCCUGGGGAGUACGGUCGCAAGACUAAAACUCAAAUGAAUUGACGGGGGCCCGCACAAGCGGUGGAGCAUGUGGUUUAAUUCGAUGCAACGCGAAGAACCUUACCUGGUCUUGACAUACAGAGAACUUUCCAGAGAUGGAUUGGUGCCUUCGGGAACUCUGAUACAGGUGCUGCAUGGCUGUCGUCAGCUCGUGUCGUGAGAUGUUGGGUUAAGUCCCGCAACGAGCGCAACCCUUUUCCUUACUUGCCAUCGGGUCAUGCCGGGAACUUUAAGGAUACUGCCAGUGACAAACUGGAGGAAGGCGGGGACGACGUCAAGUCAUCAUGGCCCUUACGACCAGGGCUACACACGUGCUACAAUGGUCGGUACAAAGGGUUGCUACCUAGCGAUAGGAUGCUAAUCUCAAAAAGCCGAUCGUAGUCCGGAUUGGAGUCUGCAACUCGACUCCAUGAAGUCGGAAUCGCUAGUAAUCGCGGAUCAGAAUGCCGCGGUGAAUACGUUCCCGGGCCUUGUACACACCGCCCGUCACACCAUGGGACGAAGAGUUCUGAUCAUGGUCUACAGGUAUAUGAUCAGGCGCAUCCGCGAGCGCACGUAGACAAUUCCA